UGAUCAUAACUCGAAAUCUGCUGCCAAGCUAGUGCAACCCCCACAGAAUUACUCAUCUUCAGCUCCUUAUAUAGGUUCUGGUGCACAUUCUUCAAUGUAUAUGGGUGUCCCACCAUAUGGAUCGUCCCUUUUCACUGGAUCUUCUAUUCCUCCAUAUGAUGUUCCAUUUUCUGGGGGUUCAGCUUAUCAUUAUAAUUACAGUAGCCGCCUUUCUGCUGGCAGCCCUUAUAGGCCGCUGCAUAUGUCUGGACCACCACCAUAUUCGGGUGGAUCUAUGAUGGGGAAUGGUGGGAUGUAUGGUAUGCCACCCUUGAUGGACCGGUAUGGUUUAGGUAUGCCAAUGGGCCCUGCUGCUUUGGGGCCUAGGCCAGGCUUCUUUCCUGAUGAUAAAUCUCUAAAAAAGGGUGCAGAUGCAACACGUGAUAAUGACUGGACAUGUCCAAAAUGUGGGAAUAUCAACUUCUCUUUUAGAACUGUUUGUAAC
RNAcentral lists this unclassified non-coding RNA (484 nucleotides) under Hevea brasiliensis (rubber tree). The record is from RNAcentral. Lineage: Eukaryota; Viridiplantae; Streptophyta; Magnoliopsida; Malpighiales; Euphorbiaceae.